AGCUCUGUAAGCGUAUACCCAAGUUGUUGCAGUUAAAACGCUCGUAGUCGGAGGUUGGCGGGCGAGACGGGGCGUCUUCGCGGACGGUCCUGGGUCGGCCGCCUUUGUGGAGGGGGGCGCGUUGCCACUUAAGUGAGGCAGCGUUGUCGCUGCCACCGUUUACUGUGAAAAAAUUAGAGUGUUCAAAGCGGGCGUUUGCCAUGAAUACCUUAGCAUGGAAUAAUAGAAUAGGACCUGUGUUCUGUUUUGUUGGUUUGUGAGGACCGGGUAAUGAUUAAGAGGGACGGUUGGGGGCAUUUGUAUUCCGGCGUCAGAGGUGAAAUUCUUGGAUUGUCGGAAGACAAACGGCUGCGAAAGCGUCUGCCAAGGACGUUUUCAU
This 379-nucleotide ribosomal RNA is filed under the name uncultured eukaryote. RNAcentral's name for it is "SSU rRNA". It matches the Rfam family "Eukaryotic small subunit ribosomal RNA", at positions 587 to 973 of the family's 1831-position model. The record is from RNAcentral.